RNAcentral lists this ribosomal RNA (1381 nucleotides) under Myomenippe fornasinii. The stretch from base 897 to 1271 matches the Rfam family "Bacterial large subunit ribosomal RNA", at positions 2073 to 2647 of the family's 2925-position model. Lineage: Eukaryota; Metazoa; Arthropoda; Malacostraca; Decapoda; Menippidae. The record is from RNAcentral.
CGAGUCGAUUUAUACUAAUUUUUAAAGUUUGUUAAAGUGUUUGAGGUUGUUUGUUUAUGAAAAAUAAUUUUAUGAAAAUUUAGUAUUGAUAAUUGAAUUUUUAUAUUAACUAUAGAUAAUAAGUACCGAAAGGGAAAUAAUAAAUUGGGAUAUAAAUUUAUAUAGCAGAUUUAAAAAUUUGUACCUUGUGUAUUAGGGAGAGUUUAAAUAAAGUAUGUAUUAUGUGUUUCUCGAAAUAAAAAUAGCUAAUUUUAUAAAAGGUUUAUGUUAUAUAAUGAUCUUAAAUGUAAAAUUAAAGAUGAAAUGUUAUACGAGUUUUAUAAUAUCUAGUUUUCUAGUAAAUAAAUAUAAUUUAGCUUUUGAAGAUAUAAAUGUUUAAAAAAGUAAAAGCAGGAGGGAUAAGCUUCUUGUUUUAAAUAGUAAUAAAAGUUAUAUAAGUUAUUAAUCUCUUAUUUAAGCUUAAAAGUAGCUAUAAUUGGAAAGUGUUUUAACUGAAGAGUAUUUUAUAAUUAUUUAUCUGUAACUUUAAUUGAUAUUGGAAUAUUUUUAUAAAUUGAUCAUAAUUAGAAAUAAUGAGUCUAUUAGUAUAAUGUAUUUAUGUUUAUUAGGUGAAAUAAAAUAAAAAUGAAUUUAUAAUAAGGUAAUGAUAUAAUAAAGGAACUCGGCAAAUGUUUCUUUUGCCUGUUUAUCAAAAACAUGUCUAUUUGAAGAUAUAAAUAGUCUGGCCUGCUCACUGAUAUAAAUUAUAUUGAAGAGCCGCGGUAUUUUGACUGUGCAAAGGUAGCAUAAUAAUUAGUUUUUUAAUUGAAAGCUUGUAUGAAUGGUUGGACAAAAAGGAUGCUGUCUACUAAUAUAAAAGUAAAAGUUGACUUUUAAGUGAAAAGGCUUAAAUUGUUCAGAGGGACGAUAAGACCCUAUAAAGCUUUAUAUGUUGUUUAAAUUUGAUUGAAUUUAGUAUAUAAAAUUUUGGUUUAAGUAAAGUAUUUUGCUGGGGCGGCAUAGGUAUAAUUUUAAUUAACUGUUUAAUAAAAAUACAGUAAUAGUUGGUUUAUUGUUAAUAGAUCCUUUUUUAAGAUUUGAGAACAAGUUACUUUAGGGAUAACAGCGUUAUUUUUUUUGAGAGUUCUUAUCGAAAAAAAAGUUUGCGACCUCGAUGUUGAAUUAAAUUGUCUAUAUAGUGCAGCAGCUAUAUAAGAAGGUCUGUUCGACCUUUAAAUGUUUACAUGAUUUGAGUUCAGACCGGCGUGAGCCAGGUCGGUUUCUAUCUUCUGAAAAAUAAUAAUCAUUUUAGUACGAAAGGAUUUAGUGAUUAAAAAAGUUUUGUUGAAUGAAAUGGCUAUUUUGGCAGAUAAUAUGCGUUAGAUUUAGGAUUUAAUUAAAU